CGGCGGACGGGUGAGUAAUGUAUGGGGAUCUGCCUGAUGGCGGGGGAUAACUACUGGAAACGGUAGCUAAUACCGCAUAAUGUCUACGGACCAAAGCGGGGGGACCUCCGGGCCUCGCGCCAUCAGAUGAACCCAUAUGGGAUUAGCUUGUAGGUAAGGUAACGGCUUACCUAGGCGACGAUCCCUAGCUGGUCUGAGAGGAUGACCAGCCACACUGGAACUGAGACACGGUCCAG
Molecule: ribosomal RNA, 236 nt
Filed under: uncultured bacterium
Lineage: Bacteria
Description: partial 16S ribosomal RNA
Rfam family: Bacterial small subunit ribosomal RNA
Source: RNAcentral